AUCUAAUCCCGACGUGCCCUUGGUCCCCGGCGCUCGGCGAAGCGUCUAUCGGAGCUCAGCCCGCCGCUGCGCGUCCGCCCUCCGCCCGGGUCGCGCCGGCGCGCGGGAACCCAGCCCCGGGGGCCGCGGGACUCCUCCGCGCGCAACUCGGCAAAGUUUCACCGCCCCCUCCCGCCUUCCCGCGCGCCUCACCUUCCCUGCCUGCGGAAGCUGGCGACCUCCCGGCCCUCCCUUCCUUCUCGUUUCAGGUCCGGGGAGCUGCUUCGAGUACUGAACUCGAGCGCUAGUCUGCAGAGACGACCCGCAACUAAUUCGGGAUCAUUGAUUUGGUCGGAAAUGAGGGGCGCGCCCUGCCCGUCGGUGUGGCCCGCGGAGGAAGGGGAGGCUGGUCCAUACCAAGGGAGCCCAGUGCGGCGUUCUCCUUGCUGCAGAUCAUUCUGGAAGGCCAAUAAAACUGUCUACGCCUGAAAACAGAAAUGAGUACUCAGACUGGCUCCACCCUGUCUCACAUGGCUAUCAAGCGCUGGAACUGUGGUUGGUCCAAACUGACAUGUGCUAAAUCACAGACAUUCUAGAGUUGCAUCUGGUUUUGCUCCCUGCACCCAGAUAAUUUGAGGCUGGUACCUUAUAGUGAUGGAUGGCUUUGGACAUUGACAAUGAAAAUGACAUAAUUUGCUGCUAAAUUCAAGAACACAUCAAGGCCACCCAAUGGAAAGCUGCUUUACAAAUAAAACAAAAAAAUCUUGGUAAUAGGAUGCUUUGAAAGAAAAUGA
Long non-coding RNA from Tupaia belangeri chinensis (Chinese tree shrew), 773 nucleotides. RefSeq lists it as uncharacterized. The transcript has 4 exons. Lineage: Eukaryota; Metazoa; Chordata; Mammalia; Scandentia; Tupaiidae. The record is from RefSeq and is a predicted model, not a curated record.